CCUCAAAUUAAAGCAGACAGUCUGCACUUUAACCUCGUAGUCAUUGCCUAAUUUCAAAUCCAAAGUGCUGGAGUACAGAGCCAAAAAUGAAACAAUUUGUCACUGUCCCAAUACUUUCGGUGCUCACUGUAUUUAAAAUCUUGAAAGUGUGUUAAAGGUUUUUGUACAAAGAAUCAAGCUUUCUUUGUAAAGGUACUUUUUAGGUUUUGCCAUGAUAAUGUUAUGGAAUACGGCCUUAUUUGUCUAUUGUGUAUGUAUGAGAUUUUGCCAUCUGUAAUGUUUUAUACCUUGUGGAAUGAGAUACCCCAGUCUGUUGUUUGUAACAGAGAUGGAGUUAAGAGUAUAUUUCCUUCAACAUUGCAUUCCAGCCCUGCUCCUACAUAAGUAAAGCAAGACGUUUUGCCGGCCAGGAUUUUAGGUCACUGCUGCUUGGCCAUUUAACUCAGGAGUUGAUAUUCAUACGGUCUUGUCAGAGACUAUUACGCGAGACCCAGACCCAUACACUGGUGCCAGGACUCAAGCCGAAAACUUGGACAGUGAUCCCUGGACCAAGUGAUCUUGAGCAGUUCUUCAGACCAAGACCACAAGUUUGAGUCUAUAAUAAAUGUAUAAUAAGCCAUAGCUCUUUAUCUCAAUUGUCGCUCUUAAAUGUCUCUAUGUGGUGUCAUUAUACAUAAGCUACCUGCUACAUGCUGUGAAAUGAUGUAGGGUAGAUUCUCAUGAUAGAUCAGUUGAAUUGAUCUACAAUACCUUGAAGAAAAUGCAGGGACGGUUCUGUAUGUUUUAGCUUUCAGAUAUGCACUGUAUGUUGUCCCCAGUGGCAGUCCUGACCUAUGUGCCUAUCUAUGCCUUUUACUUUUGUGCUUGAGAAAAUUAUUCUAGAAAAGAAUACUGUACAUACCUAGCGGGCUUUAUCGCUCUCAUCUCAAAUUACUGUGUCAAUACUGUGCCCAAUGCUGUGUAGAGUGACUGAUGUUCUGUGAAAACAAACCAUGAUAUUACUGUAUUAAUGUACAUUUGUCAUUGAAUUAUGCAUUCUGUAUCUAUUCUCUCCUGAUCAGAGUAUACUGUGGACAGAAUCCACUAAUGAUUGUUUUAACCAUAGGAUGUGUGGGGAGGAAGAGUUGCUAUUGAACACUGGUGCCUAUUUAAUUGAUUUAUCUUGUAUGUCCAUGUAUUUUCUGUUGUUGCAGAUUGCAAACAAGGGUGAGUUGUAAAACAUAGGGCAUUGCUGUGUGGAACACUGAAAAGCAUGAAUUGAAGAAGAGCUUUUAUAUGCAUUCCAUUGCUUAACCUGCUCAGUAAUAUCUGCACUGAAUGUUAAUAUAGCCAGUUAAAUUGAUAUUUUAAUAAAUUACUAUGUUUUAGUAUUUUGUUCAUUAGUCCACAAUCCCAUCUCUUGUAUUUGCAUGUCAGCAGUCAACUUUUCAAGAUGGAGCACUUUCAGUACAGAGUAAAAACUGUGAUGUAUGCGUUUAUCUUGGAAACUUGACUGCUGACAUGCAACAUUUGGGGGGUGUAGUCAAAAACAAGAUUUGAAAUAUAUUUUCACACUGAGGUUGGAAUAAUACUGGGAAAAUUAUGAAAAUUCCCUUCUAGUUUGAAAAGACCACCUGAAAUGUCAGCCUGUUAUGGUGGGAUGGCGUUUUGGCCUGCCUGGUGACAUCACCAGGUUAAUUAGUCCAAAUUUCUCUGCCAAUAACAUCUAGUUUUCUGUUUUUAACGCCCCAUUCCCAGACAGUCCUAACAAAAUUCUUACUUGAGAAAUUGCACUUUGCUAAGAAGCAAUUUUUGUUUCUUUUUGACUACUUUAAUUGAAAACAAUCACAGUAAGGUAUUUAAUUGUUACCCAGAAAGGAUUGAUAUUGAGAUAAAAACAUCUGCAUUGGACCUUUAACAGUGGAAUAAUGAAUAAAUUACCAAUCAUUUUUGAGUAAAGUGAUCCUUUAAAAACUACCGUCCUGUAGUUUUUUUCUCCAACCCUAAUCUCCCGCAACGGGUUGGAUUAAAUACCUACAGGAGUGUAGCUCUCCAGGAACAGGGUUGGAGAGAAC
Molecule: long non-coding RNA, 2054 nt
Filed under: Salmo salar (Atlantic salmon)
Lineage: Eukaryota; Metazoa; Chordata; Actinopteri; Salmoniformes; Salmonidae
Description: lncRNA (ENSSSAG00000119046.1)
Source: RNAcentral